Long non-coding RNA from Antechinus flavipes (yellow-footed antechinus), 12241 nucleotides. RefSeq lists it as uncharacterized. NCBI's taxonomy places the organism in Eukaryota, Metazoa, Chordata, Mammalia, Dasyuromorphia, Dasyuridae. The record is from RefSeq and is a predicted model, not a curated record. The transcript has 2 exons.
UGUGUGUGUGUGUGUGUGGACUACAAUACUCAACUAGGAAUUUUUAAAAACUUUUAAAACUGUUUUUUCCUAAUCUUCAUAAAAAUGAUCUCAUUUGACUAUUGUAGCCUGGUAUGCCUUGGUCUUGUCUCCUACUUUGCAAUUCCCCCUUCAGUGUUAACUAUCCUUUGUAACUUGAUCAGAUUAUUGUCUGCUUUUGAUUUAUCUUGAGCGUUUCCUGCCAUGUUCACAGUCAUAAUCAGCUCCCUCUCUAGCCCCAAGUGACAUCCACUGAGGGCUCCAAGUUUUUUCUGUUGCGGGGAGAAAUAGGAGGGCACUGAAGAGGAGACAUGCUAGUGCUUUCAGGGAAGUUGAGAAAACCUGCUGUUUCUUAAAGUAUUGAACUUAGGGGACUUCGGCAAAUUGCAAGACCCAGCUCCAAAAAAAAGGGUUUGCUUUAGUGUGGUAUUUUUCUUUUUCUGCUUGGAAUAUAGAAAGAGUCAGUAAAUCAUCUAAUUAAAUAUGUUUUUUCUCCUGAUUUAAUUUCAUGUUGAGUGAUAGAUCAAUAUUGAAAUAGUAGGAUAGCAUCAAACUACAUGAUUAAGUGGAAAGGUUUUCCUUCUCUUUGAACACAGAGCAGAGAUAUACCAAGGCCAGAAGAAGUAGCAUGGAAGGGAGAGGAGGAGGAGGAGGAAGAAGAGGAUCAAAAGUAAUGAGAGGCUUGAAAAAAGACCAGAAGUUUGUCUGAGUCGCCAUCCAGACACUAACUAGGUCAUUUCUAGUAGGGAUGGGAUCCUCCUUGGUCUCCUGUCUGCUCCUAAGAAUUUUGCUGUCUCCGUUCUGUCCAUUUUCCCACACUCUGAAUCACAUAGCUCCUCACACAGAUGGAUAGAGUUUAUGAAUAUGACUUAUCUUAAGUUAUUUUACCUGCUCUUCCCCAUAGUAGAUGGCAGUCUUCUAGGAUUUGGAUGCUACCUGGGUAUCAAGUAACCUCCAGUUGCUCAUUUACAUGAAGAAUCCCUGUCUGUUCAGCCUUUUCCUAUGCUUUACCUAGCCUAGGCCUCAUAAAGCUGAGCUUCUGGAUGGGGAAACCAAAUUAGCCAGUUUAGUCAUUUUAUAGCAUGGAAAUUAAGAUUUUUCAGAAAUUGCUGAAGCAAAAGUUUCAUCUUGAAUACGAAAGUCACCUUUAUAGGAACAAAUACCUGGUUUUGAUUAUCUUAUUUGUCCCCCUCUCUCUGAGGAGACAGAAACUAAAACUAUGAGAAAAAGAGGUUGGGAUCAUCUUUCUGGCCACAUUCAUCUCCCCUUAUACUACCUGUUCUUCCAUAGCCAUUAUUUAAGUGUCUGUGGAAGAAGUUUCCUGCUGCCUAUGAAAAAUGUCUUGGCCAAGUUAAACAUCUGGAAAUAAAGUUGAACAGGUGAGUUUCAGAACUCAAGGAGUCAAUCACUGCAGCCACUUCACCUUGGGAUCCUAAUGACCAAUCUUUCCCUAUAUGUCGACGUCUUCCAGCUUUCCCCUUCUUCACUGGUCUCUACAAAAGCCAUCCAGAGGAUGAAAACAGCUGCAUGUCUCCUCCCUAGCUAGCUUCCCAGCUCUUUACAUUAAAUAGUAGGCACUUAACUAACCAAUGCUCACUGCCCAGUUCACUCUUGAACUGUGAAAAAGAAAGGGUGCUCAUCCAGCCAAAGAGACUCAGCUAAGUUGGACUCAACUAAGUUUUCCACCUUGCCCAUCAGAACCAGUCUCGGCUCAGGUCUUCCACCUCAGAGGAGUUUGAAGGAAAUAGCUUGGUUUGAAAACAGGACAAGGAAGUGAUGCUUUAUCACCAUUCUCUCUUCAAGAAUAUAAGAUACAUAGGGAAAUGCCUGUGAUUGCCCCAGACACAUAAGACUUCCUUCUAAAGAGAACCUGAAGAGCCCCAUUUCAAGACACCCUCCAUAUUGGAGGGUAAAGUGGAACAGCACUUAGCUGAAUCCCAUCAAAGGGACCUGAAAAAAGGCCUGAAGAAUGAAACAAGUGUUGAUGCUUUUUGAGUGUGUCUACAAAGUGGUGAGAUAGAAAGUUCCCACCCCAGACCGGCUUCUCUCACCACAGCUUUCAGCCUCAAGAAUGAACCAAUCAAGUGGAAUAAAGAAGAAUUGGGGAUGGGAGGGGAGACUAGAAUGUUUUGGGAGGCGAUGCUGUGAACAGCUGAAGCAUGAGCAGUGCCGGAGAAACAGAGAGAGAGGAUAGAGCAGAUGGGAGCCUAAAACAACAGCAGGUGAGAAGAAGGGUCCUGAGAUGGGAUGGAUGCUGAUGCUGACCAUUAAAGGGGAAUUGACACAGUCUGGCCUGGAUGAGGAAAAGGUGUGCUGGGUCUGCUCUGCCCUGCCCUGCUUCCUUAGCAGAGUCCCCUCUACCCCUCCCCCCCAGCCUGUGCCAGCAAUGAGGCCGCAAGGCUGGUAGCUUCUCAUUUGUCAUGAUGACAUUGCUUGUUGGCACAGGCUGAGCUUUGCUGGAGAAACUGCACAGUUGAAGUCUGAGCAGAUGUGGGUUGUUCUGUCUUCCUUUCCCUCCCUCUUGUCAUUCAUUUUGACUUCUUAUUUUUCUGAAGGCAAGGGGAAAAAAUAUUGCAAGGCUUUGAAGUUAUAGUACACAAUUCAGUCUGAGGGAGAUUGAGGACAGGACAGAUUCUGGGAGAAAGGACCUCUGCAGAUGACUCUUAUCACAUACCAAUGGGGCUUUGACUUAGCCCCAGCCUAAGACCAGAGGUCUGGGGUCCUUUUCAGGUGUUAGGGCUGGGAACAGUUUUAUUUUAGGGACAUUGAUUUACACGUAAGUGGAAGGAAGCUUAUUGCCUAGCACUUCAAACUUAAAAUAGCAAUAAUAAUCCGAUCUUUUAUCUUCCCUUUCUGCCAACCUCUUUUCCCCUUUUUUCUCCACACCAUAUGCACCUAUUCAUUUUCUUCAUCUGAAAUUUUGCUCAAAUUAUUAUUACUUGGUAUGUGAAAUUCAUCUAUUUCUCUUAAAAGUGUCACUCCGUGCUCUCCCGGCUCCCCCAUUAAAUGAACUGUUACUUCCCAACAAUUAUAUUGUGUCUUAUUCCUUGAAAAUUUGGGAAAGGGCGAAUUAUUUUUAGUAAAUCAUUCUACAUCAAAAAUUAAGUUUUUUUAAUAUAUCUUGUUAUCUUUAGUCAUUUCCCAAACCCUCCGCAGACUGUCAUCCAUUGUGACAAAAAUAAUCAAAAAUAUCCAAUACAAGGAUGCCAAUGACAAAGUAUAAUGUUCUGGCCCAGUAGUCCCCUCACCUCUCUCUGCUAUGAGAAGAGAGGGAAGAAUUGAGCUUCCUUUUAGUGAUUUGUUUCCAUUUGCAUUAUUUUAGUCAUUAUAUAAAUACAUUAAACUAUAGUUCUCUGAGUUCUAUGUAAAUUUCUAUAAAUAUUACUAUUUCCCCUGAAUUCCUCAUAUUCAUCAUCUUUGUAAAAUGCUAAUCCAUUCAUUUUCCCAGAUAUUCUCCAAGUAUUCAUUUUCCCAUUACUUUGCUACAACAAAAAUAUAUGGAUAUCUUGGCAUAUAUCCAAACUUUGUUCCCCUUUGACUUUUUAGGGGAAGGUAGGAGAGGAGAAACGUUUGGCUCAAAAGUGACAAAUUCAACUUCAGAAGAGUUGAAUCACUUCUAGGCUCCACUAGGAGUGGCCCACACAUCAAUGAGUGCAUCUAUCUUAUCACAACCUCUUCAACAUGAACAAAAAUUAGUUUUUUGAUGGAACAAAAGAAAUGAAAUCAAAUGCAUUUCCUUCUUCUCUGGUGACUUUCUUUUCUCUCCUUAAAAAAACCCAAAAAUUCAAUCUUCCCUCCCUCUGAAAUAGUGUGUUCCAUCUCAAUAGUAAAAGAGUAAGUCCAUCUGAGAGAGUGGGAGCAGCAGAGCAGGCAGGGAAAGCCAGCUACGCCACAGGGCAGGGACAGCCUGCUGUGCAUGGGGCAUGUUGCCUUCCCGGCCCCAUUCAUUUCUGUAGCUGCAGCAGCCGAUUCUGGAUGUUUAUCCUGAGGGCAGCUCCAGCCGGAGCUCUCUGCUCAUUAGUGGCCCUGGGAAUUGAUAAGGGAGUUCAGGGAUCUUCACAUCUCUCUAUACACACGAACUGUCCUGCCAAACCAUGUUGGCCUGGGCGCCUGCACAUGGGUCUCUUCUGACUGGCAACGGAGAGAAUGGGAUCCUUCUGGGAGAAUUCAGAAAUAUCUUUUCCCCAAAUGUAGAUCAGGUCGUGUGUACUGAUAGUUCAGUCACCUGAGAAAGCUGUAACUGAAGACCAGGAUUCUGCAGCUUGAACCACAAGGGACUCUAGAAGUCAUCUAAUCUCCUCUGCCCCCUUCAUUUUACAGUUGGAGAAGCUGAGGCUCUGAGCAAGGCAGAACCACGGUGACCAGCAGAGCUGAAUUGGGAACUUGUGUUCUCUGACCCUAAAGCCUAGUCUUUCCAUUGAACUGUUACUAGCUUGUAGGAGCACUUGAGGCCCUCCAUACCUGUGAAUGGGGAGUAAUCUUAGAAAACAUAAACCCAAAGCCUCUCACUUCAUUUUUGGGAGGCCUCUAAUCUGUUACUUAACUGUGGUGCCUUGAGCAAGUCACUUGCCCUAGUGUGGGACUUCUUGUGCUCCUAAAAGCCUUGUAGCUCUUGACAAGGUUAACUUGGGGGGAAGGGGGGAAGGGAGAGACUUGUCCUCAAAUAGCCAUAGUUUUGCAGGUCUCUAUCUCUGAAAGAUUCUGAAGUUAGCCGAUUCUUAAAGGACAUUCUUUUAGAAAACACCCUUUACCUGGGAUUUUCCAUUAUUUGGCAAUUUUUUCAUCAAAUGUCCUGCCAGGAAAACUGUUCCUGCUGGCGCUCCCCAAGCACACAAACGCCCCCUCCACACUCCAUAUUUAUGAACAAGGUUACUGUCUAAACCCUGCUCACUUCCAUACCUGUGUCUUGUGCCCCUUCCAUUCCUCUCCCCUAUGGCCACCUCGAACCCUUUUGAGCCUUUGGCUGCCCUAGCCAGAGCACCCCUGGUAUCUGCACUUCGAAAAAGGCUUCUUCCUCCUCCUCAUGACAAUUUUUUGAAAACGGAAACAUUUCCCCAGAGGGCUCCACAGCCUAGACUCACAAUCACCCACUUGUAAUUUAUGAUAAAUACCUCGUGGCAUUUAUCAUUUGCAUCAGUGAGUAUUUAUAGUGAAGGGGAGGGAAGGGCAAAGGGAGGAAGCAGCCUGCGAAGCUUCACACCUGUCCUGGGCGUCUCCUCAUCAGAAGCAGCCUGAACUUCCACCGAGGCCUCUGACAGCGGAGCAAAGCCACCUUGGAAAUCCGGUCAUGAAACCGGAGACUGGCGGGGUUUCCUUGCGGAGGAAGAGAGCCGGAGAGAAUAAAGGACCGAGGGAGUCUAAGCUGCAGAGCGAGGAGCGUUCCCGCAGCCGCCGCGCACGCACACGCCUUAUCCGAGCCUCACAACACUUACGGGGGCACUUUGCACAGUGCCGCAGAAGCUGAAUCUGUGCCGGACCCGGGAGCCCCUCCAACGGCCCCGAAGCCAAAGGGCCCCGGGACGAUAGGGGAGAGAACCCAACACAAAUGGCCCUGCUCCUGUCUGUAGGGAAGGCCUGGCCCGGAGGUUUGUGCUACCGGCAGGCAGCCGGCCAACCUGGUCCCAGACUCGGAAGGCCUGGGCGGCUUGCAGAUGUCAGGCCCCUGAGGCAGCCGGCCGUGGCCCUCUCCAAGCGGAGUCCAGCUGGAGCAGGUUUUUAAUGAUUUGGUCCAUCGUGAGUUUCAGAGAAAUGGAAUUAUAACAGAGGAAAGCGGCAGGCGGGCACGCAGGGGUGGGCCAGGCGCUGGGCCAAGGUACCCGACUUGGAAUCAAAAGCCCGGGUUAGAGUUCCAGCUCUUCUUUCACCGGCUCUGAAACCCUCCUAAGUCGGGCUUACUUUGGGCCUCGCUUUCAUCAUCCCUGAAAUGAAUAGCCAUUUCAUUUUGUAGAUGACCACUAGCGUCCGUGCCCAUUUCAUGUCCCAUGUUCAAUAACAGGAUCAAAAAAUCAGGAGAAACCCCUCUCUCUCUUGCGGGGCCGCAGGGCCUUCUGAGUGGUCUUUCCCUUUCCCUGAGGACUCCCCUCAGAGGCAUACCAAAUGGACCCGGAGGCUCUUUGCUCUUCUUUUUGGCUUUUGUAUCAAAAAUCACAUUCCCUAGGGAAUCCUAGCUCGGGGAAGGACUUGUGCUUGUCUGGUGGCGGCAGCCGACUCGAGGCUUCCCGGGCUCUGCAGGGUCUAGAGUCUAGGAUACGCCAGCUCCUCCCCCAUCCUGUCUGCACCCGGUCUUGGGUCUUCCUCCUCCUUUUCCCUUGGUGCCUAUUAUCCUGGGCCCGGGAGCCUCGGCUGCGUCCCCUUCCCCCGUCCCUGCGGCCCGGCUGUUCCCGAGGGAGCGCGCCCCUGUGAGGUGCCACAUCAGAUGACCCAGAUUCUGCAGUCGCCUAAUAGCCUCCAGCUCUCUGACAGUUUCUCAAUUGUAAAUUCAAAAAAGCCCUAAAAAAAACAACAAAGUAAAACAAAACAGGCAUAUGUAGACUAGCUGCUAAGAAACCCAAGGCACAGGCUUCGUCUUUAUCUCCAAGAAAAGAACAAAUCUCCCCUUUUGUCAGUGCCCGGCUGUUUUCUUUCAGGGCCUUUUGGAACUGCCUUCUUCUCAAGUGCUUUUCUCUAUUUCUCUUAUAAAUUUCCUUUGCCUGCCUCUUUUGGCAAAUAAAAUGUCAGAUUUUGGAAAAAAAAAAAAAGUAUUAGUCACUGAGACUGUAAGACCAUUCUGGAGGGAAACAAAGCAAAGGAAGCCAAGGAGGCUACUCAGAUGCCUGCUCAUGAGUAACACUGGGGUGAUUCCAAAGAGCAGAGCAUUCAGAAGGAAGUUCCCUUCCAGAAUUCCAGCAUCCAGAGAUCCAUCCUAAAAGGGCAUCUGACAUCCAGAAUCAGAAAGGGAUCUGGGCUCCCAAAGCGGCAGAUGCCUACCAGGACUUCUGGGACAUUUUCACCCAUCUCAAACUACCUGAUGCUCCAUCCCCACCCCAGCUUCAAGUCAGGAAGAAAUUGAGUCUUUAAGUCCUCUUUCAGGAUUUUUCUUUUAGAAAUACUCUUUGCCUAAAGAUUCCAAAGAAUAAAGAAAAUCAGCCUUCUUCCUUUACUUCUAAAGGCAGAAAAUUCUAAGGAAUAUUGCAUAUGCUAUGAUGAUUUGUUGGUUGUGUGAAAAUCAUCUCAACCCCUUUUUCUUUUCCUUUUUUAUUCAUUCUUAAUAGUAGCGUUCCCAAUAGCUAAGUGAAAAAAGGGGGCGAGAAAGAAAGGGACAGAGACAGAGAGAUGCUUCAAUUUUGAAUUUCUUACUAGCAAAGUUUUUGUUCAAUAUUAUCUGUUGGGGAAAAGAGAGAGGAUGGAUCUGCGGAUUGUCUUCAAAAGUUUUCUCCUCCCUCCUCCACAUCCCACCCCAAACUCUACUAGAGCAAUGCAAGAGAAUGAAGAGGUGUGUCAAAGAUAAUUUGUCCCUGGGCAAUUUCAGAGGAAAACAAAAAAAACACAAAUAAAAUGGGUAUAAACACGUAGAUGCACGGUAGAAAAGAAAAAGGAUUGUACAUGAAAUUGCAGAUUUCUGUUAUACACAUCCUUUUUUUAAAAGUAUAUAAUAGUUUAACCAAUAGCUUUCAAAGUUGUCCCGUUUAUCUUCGAGUCUUUCUGGAUUUGCUUCUGUUCUCUGCAUUUUUAUAAAAAUGCCUAAAUUCCCCUCCCUGCUCUCCCCCCCCCCCCAGCUUCUACACACACACACACACACACACACUAGAAAAAAGAGAAGAAAAUGCAGUCAUUAAUUCAUUAUUUUCAGAAAUUGCCUAAGCAGGGGGAAAAAAAAAAAAAAACACUUUCAAAUUUAACUUUAAAAAUCCUGUCAGGCCUCUCUGUGAGAAUAACGUGGGUGGGGUUUCAGAAAGAAAACGCCCAUCUUUUCAUCCUGGUAUUCUCAUUCCUGGGUUACUGCAACAAGCCCUGGAUGCCUUCCCCCUCCCUGCCUCAGAAGCUCUUCUCCUCUGCAUCAUCCUUCAUUCACUUGCCAAAGUGACCUUCCUAAUGCACAGGUCUAUGUCCCUCAUCAAUAAAGCACUUAGUGUGUACCAACCAUUGUGCUAAGCAGGGGAGAGAGGGAAAGGCACAAGAAUUCCUGCUUUCUGGAAGUAGGGGCAAGGGAUAAUUAAAACAAAUGCUUGUUCUACCAGGAUGAUUUCUCAGGAAACCUCAUAGCCCCAGGGAUUGGGCAGAAUUCAGGGAUCCUUCCAUUCACUGAUGAACAGUUCCAAUUACCUUGUGGAUGCCAUGGUAUCUCAGGCAUCUGCUCUAAGAUCCCGCCCCUCCUGUGUCAUUUAGCUGUAGGUCUUUAACCUGGAUGCUGAUGGCUUGGGACAGAUCGUGCUGCGGUCCAGAAUUUGCAGACCCUCAUACAUGUUCCAUUUUAUUGUGAUUCUAGCAUAAGUGCGGGACACAAGAAUCUUAAGAGACCCAAGAGAUCUUAGAAGUCCUCUUCCCCCUCCCAUUUUCUUUAGUCAUAAUUUCUUGCCAAAUAGCAAUUCUAUUCUAUUACAUUCUUGUGCAACAAUGUAUUCAACCAUUUGUCCAGUCAAUGAGCACCCCCCCUUCUAAUUCACCACAAAAAGUGCUGCUGUAAAUAUUAUUUGCAUAACCUCUUGUUCUAUUCACCCCCUGGGAUGGAUGCCCAGUAACAUCGUCACUAGGUCAAAGUUUAUUCUCCUUCCCUCCUCCUCCCCCCCAGCAGACGGCCACCUCUGCUCAAACGCUUCCUGCAACUGGGAUCUCAACCCAACCCAGCCAUUCUGCUGCUGGACAGCUCUAGCGAUCAGAAAAUUGUUUUUUAUAUUGAACCACAAACAACCUCCCUAAGUCCUGCUUUUCAGUCUCAGUUCUGCCAUCAUCUAGAGACUCAAAAAUCUACCACCAGCCAGGUUCAAAGGGGAACUGAGUCAUCAAGUCCUCCCUUAGGUAGCCUUUUCUCUGAGAGGCUCAAUAUCCCCAAUUCUUUGCAUUCUUAUUUAUAUUUGGAGCUAUGUUUUGUGUCUCCUCUCAUGAUUCUUCAGUGCUCAUUUCCAUGGUUUGUCAUUCUGUCUAUUAAAGUGUAGCCCCAGAGAACGGGAAUGGAAUGCCUCCACUCAUUUUAGACUCCACUAAUAUACUGGUUAGUUUCGCAAACUGCUUCUCCUCCCUCGUUUCCUUUUUUAUUCUUUGUUGCAAUAGAUGACCUCUCUGGAGAAAGGAAGGGACACUGCCCAGUGCUGAGCCCAGGGCUAUUGACUGGAGUCAACCAGCAUGCAACACAGCCAGGCAUUUCCCAGAUUCUCUUUUUUAGCCACCACAUCAUAAUUUUGGCAUUUUUUGUUGGCAGGCAACAGAUCCAAAUCUUUUUCACAGACACCUUUCCCAAGUCAGAUGCCCUCCACAUUGUCUUUGUGUAGCUGAUUUAUAUAAGGCUUUUGCUUCUCCCUGACAAAUUUUAUCCACUGUCUCUUUUAACAAAAUGGAGGAUCCUGGAGGAUCAAGAUGGCAAGGUUUUUUUGGUUUUGUUCUGUUUUUUGUCUUUGAAUUUCUAUCACUUCCCCUAGGGCCUGGUACAUUGUAGACACAAUAAAUGAUUUUGAUUUUGAUCUAGCAUUCUACCCUAACUAUUAUCAUAAUGACUAUUUCUCCCAACUUUGUAUCAUCUGCAGAUCUGGUUAGUCUGCCUUCUAGUGUCUAGUAGGUCAUUUAGCAAAAAUGUUUUUAUUGUGUUACCACAGAGCCCUUAGACCAUUUCAUUAGAAACUUGCUUCAAUAGUAACUGAUAACUAAGUCAUACAAAUCCUUUGCAAAUUUAUAGUAAUGACAUACAGAAGUAUGCCCUUCCAGAAUACUAUAUAGCAAAUCCUCCUUUCUGGAUGAAAAAGCCAAAAAAACUGUCAUGAAAAGUAUGGUAUUUCAAUUUCAUUAUAUCAGAUGUGUAUACUAGUAGUAUAAAACCAAAUAGAAAUGGGAGAAACUAGACCUUCUGGAUGAAUAGAGGCUUAGAAAACCACGUAGAAACAGUCUAUUGUAUUUUUAUUUUGUUAAAUCAUUUUAAUAACAUUUUCAUAGUAAUUUGGACUUCAGUUAAAAGUGUUGACACCUCUGGUUGAUAUAUCUCUGGUUUUACACUAGUUACCUUAUCAUCAGAGAAGGAAAUAAAGUUCACUUGGUAUAAUUUGUUUGUAAAUUCACAUUUGCUCUUAGUGAUCACUAAAUCCUUAUCUAAAUGUUAUUGUUCAGUCGUGUCUGAUCCUUUGUGACACUCACUGGAUGUUUUCUUGAAGUGUUUUGUCAUUUCCUUCUCCAGCUCAUUUUACAGAUGAAAAAACUGCGACAAACAGGGUUAAGUAAUUUGCCCAGGAUCAGAGUUAAUAAGUGUCUGAGGUUACAUUUGAACUCAGGUCCUCCUGACUCCAGGCCUGGUGCUCUAUCCAUAGCAUCUUAUAACUGCUCCUUACCCAAAUCCUCAUCUCAUGGGAGUCUAAAUGUUUUGUUUCUUAAUGAUGCCUUCUAGAAUGUGACCAGGGAUCAACUAAAACUUAAGAGUCUCUUGAAUAUGUUCUUUCUAAAAAUCAGUAUGACAUCUGCUUGUCUCUGGUCCUCUGCCACUUCCCCAUGACUUUUUAGAGAUCAUAUGCAGUAAUGCUGUAGUCACAUUGAAAAAACAAAUCUUUCAAUAGGCAGGGAUGCAAUUCGUUGAGACCUGGAAACUGACAUUUUCCUCACUGAACUUGAGCUUUGUCUCCUCAACCUGACUUAUUCUUCUUUUUGUAAUUGAAACCCCAUUCCCCUUGCUGGAGAAGGUGGAGAGAAAGUAGAAAUGAAGCAGCCCCAUUGUCUCCCUGUUAUCUCUCUACCUAAAGGCCCAAAGCAGCGGUCUAUCUCUUCUUUUUCUUGUUCCAAACACAACUUUAAGCCACAACAACCCCACCCACAUGCACACACAAAAUAACAGAAAAAGCACUUUGUAGUCUAAGUUUUUGUUUUUUCACCUGCUUCAACUCAUCUGGAGCUUUAGCCUCCUUGCCAAUGGCCUUACAAUCAUGGCAAAAUGCAGGGGGCAGAUUGUGACACUGUUUUUGAACAUAUGGCCAAUUUGCGAAUUUUUUUUUGCCUGAAUAUGAAUAUUUAUAUUAAAUGAUUUGUAUUAAAGGGGAAGGAGUUGGGAGAGUAAGAAGAUAGAUUUUUGUUCACUUAAAAAAUUUCAUGCUAAACUCAAGGGGUGCCCAUUCCCAUUGGAGAAUGACUAAACAAAUCAUGAUAUAUAGAUGGAAUGGAAUAUUAUUAAGUCAUAAGAAUUGAUGAUAUGCAUGAUUUCAGAGAAACCAGGCAAGACCUGUAUGAACUGAUGCAGUGAAAUUAACAGAACUGGGAGAACAACUUAUACAAUAACAGCAUUAUAAAGGGUAUUCCAAAAGUCUUGGUGCAUUUUAUUCACCUAUUAAAUCUGUACAUGAUAACAACUUUGAAAUGCCUGAGAACUUCUUUGAUCAAUGCAAUGACCAACUACAAUUCCAAGAGACUGAUGAAGAAUGUAUUUACCCACAGAGAGAGACAAUGAAUUCAAGAUACUGAAUAAAAACAUGCAUUUUCCCAUUUUCUAUCAUGCCUAGUAUCAGGAUCAAACAAUGCUUUGCGUGAUUAUAAAUAUUUGUUACAAAGGCUUUGAUUUUCCUUUUUUUUAAAUGGUUACAGGGGCGGGAAGAAAGAGUGACACAGAUGAAGUAACAAAAUAAGAGAAGAAAGCAAAGGGAGUUGUAACUUUUUUAAAAUUUCUUUUCCUAAUUUCUCUCGAGAAGAAAGCAAAGGGAGUUGUAACUUUUUUAAAAUUUCUUUUCCUAACUUCUCUCUUGACCCCCAAUGCAAAAGGGCCUGGCCAUAGUAGGAGCUUAAAAAAUGUCUGUUGACUUGACUGAAGAAUCCCCCUUUUUUUUUUUUUUUUUUUUUUAAUAAUGGAGAAAAAAAGGCAGAAGGAAAACCAGACAAGCAGGACUGCUUUGAAAGCAACAGAUUGACCUUAUUAUAUACUUAAAAGAAGAAGUAAAUGGUACAGAAUUCAGAUCCAGUUUCUUGUGUAAUCUUUUUUUUCUGUUUUACUAUGCAUGUGGGAAUGCCCAUUUUAUUGGGAGUCUGUCAAGUUCAGAAUAAAAAUAAAAACUAAUUUGAAAAGAGA